GCAGUGGUCUCAAUUCAGAGUAUUAAUACUCAGUGCGUGCCUAGUGAAAAGCAACCUUCAUUUUGCUGAGAAAGACUCAUUACUGCAGCCCCCGCCUCAUCUGCCACAGAGUGGUUGUCCCUUAAAUCUGUCUUCGCACUUGUAGAUCUGAGACAUCAGCUUCUCUCACUGUGCUGCAAGCCAGGCAUAGGCAACUCCACAGAGAAGCAGGAGGUCUUCCUCCUCAGAAGACCAGCAUGACAAGAUCUGUCCAAACCAACAACUAUUUUAAAAAUAUAAAAAGUUUCAACUUAUGCUCAAAUUGCAAAAUUAAAGCCAAAGAGCCUGUAACAAGGAGGUAACUGAUCUCUCUUUCAGACUGGCUCUAGAUGUACAAGGUCAUGAGUCUUUUAUCUGUGUACAAGUAGUAAGAACCAUAAUUCAUGCUCUUGACCUUAUGAAGGCAGAUAGCAAAAGAUUCUGAAGUCCUGAUUUUCCAUUUUUUCAUAAAAUUGUAAAACCAACCAACCAACCAAACAACAACAACUACAAGAAAAAACGGAGCUCCUCACCCCUUCACAUGUGGCUGCUCUCCUGUCAUCCAAUUUCACCACUUGGGGAAAAUUCCAGGCUGUGUUGGAGCACUCUUGCAUGUGCUGGUGUAAUGGGAUCUCAAAGGCAGCCAGUGCCAAGUCAUACCAUAAGUAUAAAAGACCUGUUUAAAAAAUUGCAUGCUGCGAAGUGAUGUAACAGAAAUAGCAAAUUAUUUUCCUUUUUAUGGGAUGAACACCAGCAUAAAUGCAAUAAUAAACUGUUAUUUUUGUUGGUGGUGGUAGUUUUUCCUAGGGUUGCCAUAGUUACCCUCUGGACAAAAACAGACAGAAAAACUUGUGCCUAAAGGGAAAUUCACUGUGAAGUCUUUGUCAGUCAAAAAUUGAUAAUAUAAUAUAACAUAAGGUUUGCCACAGUGAAACCAGAGGUUUAGUGUUGAUGCGCUUUUUUUUUUUUUUUCUCCAGACUGGAACUAUCUGAUUUCAGUGGUCAGCUCUGAGGGCUUGUGGGAGGCUUGUCUGUAACUGAGACAGAUCAGUUGUAGGUACCUGCUCCAGAUGAAUUCCCUGCCUCAUGGCACUGACUGAUCUGGUGGUCUUUUGACAAAGAACUCACACCAUUUAACUCUUUUGGCAUGCUGAGUACUUUGUGGACCACAUGUGCUGUUCCCUAACACAGAGAAAGUAUAUUUCUCUUACACGUUAUACACACUUGAGUAAACACGCUCAAAGUGUAGCAGUGACUAAAAGAACAACACAAAGCCCCAGAAGCUGUAUAAGGAAGCACAAGACAAGAACCUCUACAAAGACUACUAGAGGCAGAACUGGCUUAUUAAAUGCAGACUUUUACCCCUUUUUUUUCCCCUUUUUGUCUAGUUCUUUAUUUUUCCACCAUGAAUUCAGGAAUUCAAGGUUUUGAAUCCCAGGACUUUUGCAUAUAAGCAAGGACCUAGAAGCACCCACGUUUCAAGGCAUCUGGAUGUAGUCUCAAAUCAGCUUAAAUUACAGCCUAGGAGGAAACCUUCCAUUACCAAACCUGGUCUUGUUCCCUGCCAUAAGAAGACAUACUAACUAAAAGGAGUCAGACAUGAAUGUGCUUGAAGAAAGGGUGAUACAGAACUGGCCCCUGUGUCUCAGUCAUCCUUUCAUGUACAGUGCAUCCAUUGUGCAUCUUUCUAUUCUUCUGUCUGGAUCAUGACCACUGGUAUGUACAUCACUAAUGGUAAGUGCUGCAGUGUUUCUGUACUCCUAUAUUUAUUAGCUAUUGAGCUUUAAGCACCUUGAGCUUCACAGUUACCGUCUUGCAGUAAGCCAAGUUACAUUACGGAGUCAAAUAUGUAAGCAUGAAUAACCUUAACAACAAGAACGUUAAAAUAUAUAUUAGGCUAAAGAAUUAACUAUGAAUUAAAAUAUUGAUUAAUUAUAGAGUGUUAUAUUUUAUGCAGUAGCUAUUUAUACUGCCUGAGCUGAUGACUGGAAAUCUGGAGAAACAGAUUUCACCAUUAUGGCCAGAUAAACAGAGAGCAGAGUUUGGAUGUGAUGGUGCUUCGCAGAAGGACAGGAUUAGUGGUGCAUAAACCAUUCUCAAGAGGUGCUUGCCACCUUCUUAAAAAUCACUAAUGGAGAAGUUUCUUUGACCUUUAGAAGUAAUCUAUUCUUAUGUGUAUUAUCAGCGCUUUCAGCAGCAACAGUCUGAGGAAAAGAUGUUUCCCUCUGUCUUUAUUAAAGGCUACUGCACAGGAGAAGGGACCAGAAAGAGCUUUCUAGACCUAUGUGUAGAUAGGUGCAUCACCAGCCUACCUGGCUGGGCUGUAUUUUUCAUGUUAAUGUUAUGACUGCCUUUUUCUCAGCCACCAUGGAUUCCCUGCUCUUUUCUGCAGAACAAGUCUCUGGCCAAUUUCCUCUGCUUUAUUUAUACAACUCAUCUUUCCUACUAAGUGCAUUAUGUUGCCUUACUCUGUAUUAAAUGAUACCUUAUUUUUAAGAUCCUCAUUGCCAUUUAUCAAGGUCAUUUUAAGUGUUAGGCAUUGGAACAGGCUGCCCAGGGAAGUGGUGCAAUCACCAUCCCUGGAAGCCGUUAAAAGGCGUUUAGAUGUAGAGCUUAGGGGUAUGUUUUAGUGGGGAGUGUUAGCGUUAGGUCAGAGGUUGGACUCGAUGAUCUUGAGGUCUCUUCCAACCUAGACAUUCCGUGAUUCUGUGAUUCUGUGUCUCUCAUUACUUGUCCUGCCUUGGCAGGUUUUGUAUCAGCACAAUGAAUAACUCCCAUCACCCACUAACUCCUUCCCCCUGCAAGCUGCCAAUGGUGUGCCUGCCCACAAAAAGUUCAAGCUGAGAUGGGAAAAAAAAAAAAUAUAUAUAUAUAUAUAUGUGUGUUAUGAACGCAAAAACUGUUGUCAUUAGGUUAUGACCUACUGAUGGUGUCCUCUCUUUAACAGCAUACACCUCAGGAAGAGAAGAGUAAUGCAAGAGUGUUGCAUUGCUUUCCCAAAUACCGUCCCAGACCCCUAAGGCCAAUUUUAGGCUCAGUACCUUCAUGCCUGAAAUUGACUUUGUGUUUAACAAACCUUGGAUUUCUUUUCAAGAAUGUGUACAUUUGGACUUGACUGUUCCUAUGUGUUUUCCUACAGCAAUAUCAAAGGAUGCUGGUUUCAGCCUUGAAACCCAUCUGAAGAAAUUCUUUCCCACCUUUUUCUUGACCCUGUCUCAUGUUUUUCUAGGUCAUCUGUUCUGCCCUGCAAUUACUUGAGGUAUUGACUACACAGAGAAGAAGAGAACUGAUCAAGAUUAAAAAUAAUCUAUUUUGGAAGAAAAUGGUGAAAUUUUACUCUAAUAAAGUAAAUUGCCAAGGAAAUACUGAUGUCAAAUUUAGAGAGGAUACUGAAAUCUCUUACAAAAUAUUUCAUCUGUAGAGAAAGAUAUUUUCUACCUAUUAAUUGAAAGAAUGUAGAAGGCUCAUUAUAGGAGAAAUGAAGGACAGAAAUGGAAAAUGAAUUAUGGAGUAUAACUAUCAUUUGUCAUUGCAGCUGUAGAGAUUUUGGAGCAAUCGUUUUUUAUUUGUAGUUUCCCAUGGGUUUCCCACUAGCAUUUAAAUAUUUCUUCAAAAGGUGUUUCUAGAUAUCUGCAGCCUAUAAAUAUAUUAAAUCAAGGUCCUAAAGCAUGAAUGUCUGAUGAAACUGCAUUAAGAGAUUCUGGCAGAGAUGAAGGCAGCAUAUACAUUGCAAAAAUGUCAGCAGUGUAGAUGGCAUAUAGAAACCUUGUAGCUAAAGCCUCCUGAAGAUACCUUUGGUAAAAGAGAGAUCUGUUUUCUUUGCUCAGUGGUUACAGGAUCUUUGGUUCCAAUUCAGAUCACAGCAGUAAAUGACACGGAUGUCACUCAGGUGAUACUGACUUCAGAUUUGAUAGUUUUUUCCUGGAUUCUGGAUGUCCCUCUGUGCUUAGCACAACUUUCCACAGGUUUCACAUUUUCACUGAGCUUUUACUUGGUGGAUUUAAUGGGACCUCUGUGAAAACUUCUGCAAAAUCGAUGAGCUGCCAAAAGAGAUUUCAUAUGGGUACAGAUCAGUGGGCAUCACUACUCACACAGAGUGUAUCGACAGCUGCUCAGGCAAGGCACACAGUAAGCAUGAGGUUGGCUCUGACCUUGCUGCUGUCCAUCCUAAUAGGCAGACAGCUGUUGAUAUCGAUGCUGCAAGUUUGGACCAACUUUCUCCACAAGUACACACAUGCUGUGGGAGCACAACCACUGGCAGAUGCUGAAGGAGACACCUAACUGCACAUAUCAACUCAGAACAAUGGAAAAACAAAAUUAAAAUACUUAUCUACAUGCUUUAGAAAUGAUGUUUCAGUGCUGCAUGACAUUUUGGCAGUUUUUCUCAUGAAAAUGUGGCUGAAGUCUUUGAUCCAUGAUGUUUUUCUGAAUUUGCUAAACCAGAUAAAUCAUACAUCGAAUCUACGAGAACUGCCCUGAUAGAGAGCAUUUCCUCUGUAUUUUGCCCCUGAAAACCUGUAUUUUUUUGUAACAGAAUCAUAUUCUCUAGGCUGAGAUUUUCGCAGGGAUAGGAAUAUUUUGGAAUGGGAUGUCAGAAGAAAGGCAAUACGAAGUAAAGGAGCUUGGCGAAGACCAUUUAGAGAAGUUUGCUGUGAUGGAAAAGAAGGGGGUAACCCAAUGUAACAAGAGAUCAACAUUCAUCUAGUGGAGGGCUAAAGGGACGCAUUCUGUUUUAAAAAUAAGUAAAUCAUAUUGUCCAUGAGGGAAGAGCAGGCUACCUUUCACCUACCAUUUUCAGCACCAUCAUAAGAGUAAGUAGAUGAAAAAAAGUAGAUGAAAAAAGCUUUUUCUGCUUUUCUUAUAAGUCCCCUGCACAACCACUCCCUGGAUGAGUAUCACACCUCAAGUGAUACUGUGGAGUAGCUCAGGGUCUCACAGCUUUCCUUCCCUCUACUUUCAGUUUGUAAAUAAGUAUUUGUUUUCUUCUUAACUAAUGCAAGCAAAAUCCUAGCUUCUCAAGGGCAAGCUGUUUUUUUCCACUGCCUUAUCCUGCCAUGUAUUGCAGUGCUCCUACAAGCAGGACCAACUGUGGUCCAGCACUGGAUGUAGUCACUUUCUGGAGGAUGUAGAAGAAGGAGGUAUCUCCCGUGCAGCCUGCCAAAACUGUAAUGGCUCUGCAGUGCUAAAAAAAGAUGUUUUUAUGUCAUCAAUGGCAAGCAUGAAUUCACUCAGGAAAAGUGAAUUUAUUUGAAAGAUGGUGUUUUUUAUGGAUACCACUCAGAAAAGCAGAAUAUCACCUUAAAAUUUCAACACAUUAAGCUAGAGGUACAAGAGCAUGCAUAACCAGCCAUAAUGCAAAUAUUAAAUACAAGUUAAUUCUCUGUUGAGUGCUUGUAGUGACGUAGUCUGUAGCAUUUCCUUGAGUAAGUGAAAGUAAUCUUGGGAUGUAUUCCAGUUAAAAACAAACUUUUACAAAUACUUCUGUAUGUUUAAUGUUUCCCAUUACAUGGUUCAUUCAAAGCACUUACCAACCCUUCAUGUCAUGUACAUUAGAACCAAAAAUCCUCAGGGAGUAAGUUGGGAAAACGUACAAGUAGAAAACACACCCGUCUUCUUUUAACUUCUGACCUGGGGUCUGGAUUUUCUAAUUCUUCUUUUUUUCUGAGAAAUAAAGGGAAGAAAAAGACAGAAGAGAUUCUGCAGAAGCAUAUAUCUUCUUAAGAGUAAAAUAGUGUGCCCACUUGUGAAUUUGCCUGUUUAUCAGUGUCCAGGUAUAAAAAUGACAAAAUGUAAGAAGAAAAAACAAAUCAAAUCAAAACAAAACAAAAUAAAAAAGAUAUUUUUAUAGACUGUAACUAAAUCCAGCACACCUUGCUAUCUUAACUCUGACCAGAUGUGGGAAUAGACAAAAAAAUGCAAGCUGUUUUGAUUCUACAUCAUCCUUUUAUUUUCCAUUCACAAUAAAUACUGUAUUUGGAUGAGACCACCAGAACCUGAGAUCAUUGUUCAUGGAAUUUCACAGAGUGUAUGAGUGGAGGGAAAUUAUCCUCACUGAUCACCACAGGUGCCACAGAGAGGGUCCCAUCACAACUUCUGCAGUGUGUUCACACAGGCUGAAGAUGCUGGGGGCAGGAGCGACACGGGAAUGAAGAGAGGGCUCUUGUCUGUGGAGAGAUUCUGCCCAGCCAAGCAAUGGGGAACUUGACAAAUUCAUAAAAAAGGAAAAUAAUACUGUAAGAUGCUGAUAUGGCACAUGACACAUUUGUGUUGGUACAGCCCUGGGACCCCUCAGUGUUUUCUCUGUGCAGACAGUUAAUAACUACCUGUUACACAGGGUUGGGAGACCCCAUUGUGCCCUCCUGAGUGCUGCCACCUGCACCAGCUGUAAUGAGGGCACUGUGUUUCAGCACCCUGUUUAUUUCAUAUUUUUAGUUUGGCACCACUACAAUGGCUGGAAUUAUAAAAGUAACAUUGUUUUCCUGUUGUUUUUCCCAUCUCUGUUCAUUCUUUUUUUGUUUUCAGAAAAAAAAUAAAUAUUGUACAACAGAAAGAACCAAGUCAUCACCCCAAAGUAGAUAUCACCUUAACAGAAUAUCUUAAUUUGAAUCACUUAACCAUAAGCAUUGUAUGAGCCUAAUUCUCAUAUAAUAUUAUCAUUGGCCAUAAUGCAGAUUAA
Anas platyrhynchos (mallard) is the source of this 6694-nucleotide long non-coding RNA. RefSeq lists it as uncharacterized. The record is from RefSeq and is a predicted model, not a curated record. Lineage: Eukaryota; Metazoa; Chordata; Aves; Anseriformes; Anatidae.